This 253-nucleotide ribosomal RNA is filed under the name uncultured bacterium. RNAcentral describes it as "partial 16S ribosomal RNA". It matches the Rfam family "Bacterial small subunit ribosomal RNA", at positions 524 to 776 of the family's 1533-position model. The record is from RNAcentral.
UACGGAGGGUGCAAGCGUUAUCCGGAUUUACUGGGGUUAAAGGGUGCGUAGGUGGGUCUGUAAGUCAGUGGUGAAAUCUCCGAGCUUAACUCGGAAACUGCCAUUGAUACUAUAGAUCUUGAAUUAUCUGGAGGUAAGCGGAAUAUGUCAUGUAGCGGUGAAAUGCUUAGAUAUGACAUAGAACACCAAUUGCGAAGGCAGCUUACUACGGAUCGAUUGACACUGAGGCACGAAAGCGCGGGGAUCAAACAGG